This 79-nucleotide small nucleolar RNA is filed under the name Triticum aestivum (bread wheat). Its description in RNAcentral is "Small nucleolar RNA Z199". It matches the Rfam family "Small nucleolar RNA Z199". From Rfam's summary of the family: snoZ199 is a C/D box small nucleolar RNA, which acts as a methylation guide RNA for sites on 18S and 25S rRNA. Rice snoZ199 is reported to be homologous to Arabidopsis snoR13. RNAcentral also lists the same sequence under 1 other name. The record is from Rfam by way of RNAcentral. Lineage: Eukaryota; Viridiplantae; Streptophyta; Magnoliopsida; Poales; Poaceae.
GGUUCAAGUGAUGAUGAGAAACUGCAAUAAUAUGACAUGAGUUACACUCCUGUGGUUCGUAGUUUAAAGUCUGAUGAUU